RNAcentral lists this unclassified non-coding RNA (278 nucleotides) under Pseudogymnoascus sp. RNAcentral's name for it is "partial contains 5.8S ribosomal RNA, internal transcribed spacer 2, and large subunit ribosomal RNA". The stretch from base 1 to 71 matches the Rfam family "5.8S ribosomal RNA", at positions 84 to 154 of the family's 154-position model. Lineage: Eukaryota; Fungi; Ascomycota; Leotiomycetes; Thelebolales; Thelebolaceae. The record is from RNAcentral.
GUGAGUCAUCGAAUCUUUGAACGCACAUUGCGCCCCCUGGUAUUCCGGGGGGCAUGCCUGUCCGAGCGUCAUUACAACCCUCAAGCCUAGCUUGGUGUUGGGCCCCGCCGCCUGGCGGGCCCUAAAGUCAGUGGCGGUGCCGCCCGGCCCCGAGCGCAGUAACUCUUCUCGCUCUGGAGGCCUGGGCGCGUGCCUGCCAACAACCCCCCAUUUCUUCAGGUUGACCUCGGAUCAGGUAGGGAUACCCGCUGAACUUAAGCAUAUCAAUAAGCGGAGGA